GAUUCCUUAGUACAGUGGUUACUACACUUGACAUAGACAUAAGAGACGUGGGUUCAAUUCCCACAGGCUCA
RNAcentral lists this transfer RNA (71 nucleotides) under Puccinia sorghi. It matches the Rfam family "tRNA". Rfam says of the family: Transfer RNA (tRNA) molecules are approximately 80 nucleotides in length. Their secondary structure includes four short double-helical elements and three loops (D, anti-codon, and T loops). Lineage: Eukaryota; Fungi; Basidiomycota; Pucciniomycetes; Pucciniales; Pucciniaceae. The record is from Rfam by way of RNAcentral.